This 385-nucleotide ribosomal RNA is filed under the name Felimare orsinii. RNAcentral describes it as "Hypselodoris orsinii partial 16S ribosomal RNA". It matches the Rfam family "Bacterial large subunit ribosomal RNA", at positions 1923 to 2586 of the family's 2925-position model. The record is from RNAcentral. Lineage: Eukaryota; Metazoa; Mollusca; Gastropoda; Nudibranchia; Chromodorididae.
AUAAAUGGCCGCGGUACCUUGACUGUGCUAAGGUAGCAUAAUCAGUUGGCUUCUAAUUAGGGUCAGGAAUGAAUGGAGUUACGUGGUUCAGCUGUCUCCUAAAUAUUUAUUUGAAAUUACUAUGUAGAUGAAAAAGUCUAUGUUCUGAAAAAAGACGAGAAGACCCUAAGAGUUUUACUUAAUGUGAUGUUUAUUAUUCAUAAUGGUUUUGUUGGGGCAACAUAGGAGCAAAUAGAUUAACCUCCUUAAUAAACUAACCGAUUAUUUUAAAUAUGAAAAAACUACCUUAGGGAUAACAGCAUUAUGUAAAAAAUAAGUUUGUGACCUCGAUGUUGGACUGGGAAAUUUAAAGGCUAGCCGUUUUUAAAGAAAGUUCNSUUCGAAC